This 117-nucleotide ribosomal RNA is filed under the name Elusimicrobia bacterium RIFCSPLOWO2_01_FULL_54_10. Lineage: Bacteria; Pseudomonadati; Elusimicrobiota. The record is from RNAcentral.
CCUGGUGCUUAUUCCGGCGAGGCCACACCCGUUCCCAUUCCGAACACGGCAGUUAAGCUCGCCAGGGCCGAUGGUAGUUGAUUCGCAAGGGUCCGCGAGAGUAGGUCGGCGCCAGGU